GCUUUUAUAGUUGAAAUACAACGAUGGUUUUACAUAUC
RNAcentral lists this transfer RNA (38 nucleotides) under Rhinopithecus sp. Its description in RNAcentral is "partial tRNA-Glu". Lineage: Eukaryota; Metazoa; Chordata; Mammalia; Primates; Cercopithecidae. The record is from RNAcentral.